CAGUCGCCGCGGGAAUACGUAGGGUGCAAUCGUUAAUCGGAAUUACUGGGCGUAAAGCGUGCGCAGGCGGUUUUGUAAGACAGAGGUGAAAUCCCCGGGCUCAACCUGGGAACUGCCUUUGUGACUGCAAGGCUAGAGUACGGCAGAGGGGGAUGGAAUUCCGCGUGUAGCAGUGAAAUGCGUAGAUAUGCGGAGGAACACCGAUGGCGAAGGCAAUCCCCUGGGCCUGUACUGACGCUCAUGCACGAAAGCGUGGGGAGCAAACAGGAUUAGAUACCCGUGUAGUCCCUGUCUCUUAUAA
This 301-nucleotide ribosomal RNA is filed under the name uncultured bacterium. Its description in RNAcentral is "partial 16S ribosomal RNA". It matches the Rfam family "Bacterial small subunit ribosomal RNA", at positions 509 to 809 of the family's 1533-position model. The record is from RNAcentral.